AAAACAACGCGAAAAGGCGGCCGGGCGCGGCAUGUGUGGAGCUGUGAAAUGCACGGCACCAUUACACCGCGCCCUGUCGCUGCGUUCGGGGGGCCGCCCCUCGGGGCCGCCCCUGUCUGCACCCUCUGCCAUUGUCGCACCUCGCGUUUCCUCGGCGGGCCCGCCCGCCAACGGGGACCCCAAACCAAACCCACUUGCAGUGCCUGCAGUAAACGUCUCACAAAAGAAAUAAAUCA
RNAcentral lists this unclassified non-coding RNA (236 nucleotides) under uncultured Pleosporales. RNAcentral describes it as "sequence contains ITS1". The record is from RNAcentral. Lineage: Eukaryota; Fungi; Ascomycota; Dothideomycetes; Pleosporales.